AUUAACAGGAUUAGAUACCCUGGUAGUCCACGCCCUAAACGAUGUCAACUAGCUGUUGGGGCCUUCGGGCCUUGGUAGCGCAGCUAACGCGUGAAGUUGACCGCCUGGGGAGUACGGUCGCAAGAUUAAAACUCAAAGGAAUUGACGGGGACCCGCACAAGCGGUGGAUGAUGUGGAUUAAUUCGAUGCAACGCGAAAAACCUUACCUACCCUUGACAUGUCUGGAAUGCCGAAGAGAUUUGGCAGUGCUCGCAAGAGAACCGGAACACAGGUGCUGCAUGGCUGUCGUCAGCUCGUGUCGUGAGAUGUUGGGUUAAGUCCCGCAACGAGCGCAACCCUUGUCAUUAGUUGCUACGAAAGGGCACUCUAAUGAGACUGCCGGUGACAAACCGGAGGAAGGUGGGGAUGACGUCAAGUCCUCAUGGCCCUUAUGGGUAGGGCCUCACACGUCAUACAAUGGUCGGGACAGAGGGUCGCCAACCCGCGAGGGGGAGCCAAUCCCGGAAACCCGAUCGUAGUCCGGAUCGCAGUCUGCAACUCGACUGCGUGAAGUCGGAAUCGCUAGUAAUCGCGGAUCAGCAUGUCGCGGUGAAUACGUUCCCGGGUCUUGUACACACCGCCCGUCACACCAUGGGAGUGGGUUUUACCAGAAGUAGUUAGCCUAACCGCAAGGGGGGCGAUUACCACGGUAGGAUUCAUGACUGGGGUGAAGUCGUAACAAGGUAGCCAAU
RNAcentral lists this ribosomal RNA (731 nucleotides) under uncultured bacterium. Its description in RNAcentral is "bacterial SSU rRNA". It matches the Rfam family "Bacterial small subunit ribosomal RNA", at positions 768 to 1504 of the family's 1533-position model. The record is from RNAcentral.